RNAcentral lists this ribosomal RNA (555 nucleotides) under Sarcophaga peregrina. RNAcentral's name for it is "partial 16S ribosomal RNA". It matches the Rfam family "Bacterial large subunit ribosomal RNA", at positions 1796 to 2620 of the family's 2925-position model. The record is from RNAcentral. Lineage: Eukaryota; Metazoa; Arthropoda; Insecta; Diptera; Sarcophagidae.
UCGCCUGUUUAACAAAAACAUGUCUUUUUGAAUUUUUUUUAAAGUCUAGCCUGCCCACUGAAUAAUUUUAAAUGGCCGCAGUAUACUAACUGUGCAAAGGUAGCAUAAUCAUUAGUCUUUUAAUUGAAGGCUGGUAUGAAUGGUUGGACGAGAUAUUAACUGUUUCAUAAAAAUUUAUAGUAGAAUUUUAUUUUUUAGUCAAAAAGCUAAAAUGAAAUUAAAAGACGAGAAGACCCUAUAAAUCUUUAUAUAUAGAUUAUUAGAAUUUUGUAGAUUUUUUUUAUUAUAAUAGUUAAUUGUAUUUUAUUGGGGUGAUAUUAAAAUUUAAUUAACUUUUAAUUUUUAAAGUCAUUAAUUUAUGAACAAUUGAUCCGUUAAUAACGAUUAAAAAAAUAAGUUACUUUAGGGAUAACAGCGUAAUUUUUUUGGAGAGUUCAUAUCGAUAAAAAAGAUUGCGACCUCGAUGUUGGAUUAAGAUAUAAUUUUAGGUGUAGCCGCUUAAAUUUUAAGUCUGUUCGACUUUUAAAUUCUUACGUGAUCUGAGUUCAGACCGGA